RNAcentral lists this ribosomal RNA (406 nucleotides) under uncultured bacterium. RNAcentral describes it as "partial 16S ribosomal RNA". It matches the Rfam family "Bacterial small subunit ribosomal RNA", at positions 30 to 526 of the family's 1533-position model. The record is from RNAcentral.
AUUGAACGCUGGCGGCAGGCCUAACAAAUGCAAGUAGAACGAGAGGCGGACGGGUGAGUAAUGUCUGGGAAAAUGCCUGAUGGAGGGGGAUAACUACUGGAAACGGUAGCUAAUACCGCAUACCAUCGGAUGUGCCCAGAUGGGAUUAGCUAGUAGGUGGGGUAAAGGCUCACCUAGGCGACGAUCCCUAGCUGGGCUGAGAGGAUGAACAGCCACACUGGAACUGAGCCACGGUCCAGACUCCUACGGGAGGCAGCAGUGGUGAAUAUUGCACAAUGGGCGCAAGCCUGAUGCAGCCAUGCCGCGUGUCUGAAGAGGGCCUUCGGGUUGUAAGGAGCUUUCAGCGGUGAGGCGUUACCCGCAGAAGAAGGACCGGCUAGCUCCGUGCCAGCAGCCGCGGUAAUAC